This 434-nucleotide ribosomal RNA is filed under the name uncultured bacterium. Its description in RNAcentral is "partial 16S ribosomal RNA". It matches the Rfam family "Bacterial small subunit ribosomal RNA", at positions 29 to 507 of the family's 1533-position model. The record is from RNAcentral.
AGCGAACGCUGGCGGCAGGCCUAACACAUGCAAGUCGAACGAACCUUUCGGGGUUAGUGGCGGACGGGUGAGUAACACGUGGGAACGUGCCUUUAGGUUCGGAAUAACUCAGGGAAACUUGUGCUAAUACCGAAUGUGCCCUUCGGGGGAAAGAUCUAUCGCCUUUAGAGCGGCCCGCGUCUGAUUAGCUAGUUGGUUGAGGUAAUGGCUCACCAAGGCGACGAUCAGUAGCUGGUCUGAGAGGAUGAUCAGCCACAUUGGGACUGAGACACGGCCCAAACUCCUACGGGAGGCAGCAGUGGGGAAUCUUGCGAAAUGGGCGAAAGCCUGACGCAGCCAUGCCGCGUGAAUGAUGAAGGUCUUAGGAUUGUAAAAUUCUUUCACCGGGGACGAUAAUGACGGUACCCGGAGAAGAAGCCCCGGCUAACUUCGUG